AAUCUAAAAAAUAAGCCCCGUUUUUCCAUCUUGGACGAGUUUCUACAUCUUAUAACGGUUUUACCAAAAUUUUCUUCGAAUUUGCACUUUGGCCCCUAAAUUUUUCGGAUCGUGAACAGUUCACCGCGGUGGCGGCGUGGAUCGCGGUAGAGUGCGGUGAACACUGCCUGGGCCUAUUUUUGUGUUUUGUCUCCGCGCUCUGCUCUGCUGUCCACCACAGUCACAGUGGACUUUUGCCCAGUCAUUUCUUUUGCUCUUUUAUGUACGGGUACUUCUUGAGUGGGUGUUUUCUACACAUUAUUGCCUUCAAACACUUUAUGUUGCUUCCUCACAUGUAACAUUCCCUGCGAAACCAAUUAGCACAAUUUAAAGCAUUUUAUUGGCAAAUUACCUUAUAAAACAACAGCAAAGUAUGAGCAAUUAAGGUGUAUCAACUAGCUAGCCAAUUAUCAACACCCCACACUUAAAUUAUUGCUAGCGCUCGAGUAAUUCACCAUACUCCAUCAAUAUUCCUUCCCUGUGCUUUUCCCUCAACGACUCACACCAUGAACAUUUUACAAAAGAUACACCUAGUAGUGAGCAAACUUUUACCUUAAGAAUCAAAUCUUUCGCACCCCGUAACAUUUGCACUUACUCAAACCACUCUACAUAAGAGUCAAGACGUAUCUUUCUUUGUGAAUUACAUACCCUCACAUCACACAAGAGAGUAGUUCCAUACAUAAUGAUAGUGAUAACAAUUAGGAACUAAAAUAGACAUAAUUCGCUCACUCUCUAAAAAGAUCAUUCACAUGCUACAUAGAUGUAACAUAAGCUUGCUCGUCGUGUACUCGACUAAUCAAGCUCAUUCAAUCUUGGAUCAGUUAGGACUUUAUUUGGUUGUAAUGUAGGCUAUGGGACGGGUAGGAUACAUUUA
RNAcentral lists this long non-coding RNA (913 nucleotides) under Nicotiana benthamiana. Its description in RNAcentral is "long non-coding RNA (NBEN_LNC038415)". The record is from RNAcentral. Lineage: Eukaryota; Viridiplantae; Streptophyta; Magnoliopsida; Solanales; Solanaceae.